The submitters of this non-coding RNA (30 nucleotides) gave its source as unclassified sequences. The record is from Rfam.
CUCUGUUCCAGAUGGUCCAGGGCAAAGGAG